This 2546-nucleotide unclassified non-coding RNA is filed under the name Hevea brasiliensis (rubber tree). The record is from RNAcentral. Lineage: Eukaryota; Viridiplantae; Streptophyta; Magnoliopsida; Malpighiales; Euphorbiaceae.
UUCACUUCCAAAGAGAGAGAGGAGAAAAACUAUGGGCAAGGAAAACGAUAGCGUUCCAUCGUCGGCGCAAGGCUUCAAGCUCGUAGGAUUUUCCAACUUCGUCAGAACAAAUCCUCGAUCCGAUCUUUUCAAGGUCAAGCGCUUUCACCACGUGGAGUUCUGGUGCACUGAUGCUACCAAUACGGCUUGUCGCUUCUCCUGGGGACUUGGAAUGCCUUUCGUAGCUAAAUCCGAUCUUUCCACUGGCAACGUCACCCAUGCUUCCUAUCUACUUCGCUCCGGCGACCUCAGCUUCCUUUUUACCGCUCCCUACUCUCCUACUAUUGCUUCCAUGGAGAACUUUUCGCACACUGCCACCGCAUCUAUCCCAACCUUCAGUCAUGAAGCGUGCCGGAAUUUCUCAGCUAAGCACGGACUUGGUGUUCGAGCCAUCGCCAUAGAAGUUGAGGACGCAGAAAUCGCGUUCAACACUAGCGUCGCACGCGGCGCCUUACCCAUGGGCGGACCAAUAACGCUCGAUAAUCGUGCCGUUGUUGCGGAAGUUCAUUUAUAUGGGGAUGUAGUUUUGCGAUAUAUUAGUUACAAGAACUCAAACCCUAACCUUAAUGAUUCUAGUCCCGAUAGUUGGUUUCUGCCAAAAUUUGAAUCAGUAGAUGAGGCUUCAUCGUUUCCUUUGGAUUACGGGAUUCGGCGAUUGGACCAUGCGGUUGGAAACGUGCCGGAAUUAGCUCCAGCGGUCUCUUACGUCAAGGAGUUCACCGGUUUCCAUGAGUUUGCGGAGUUCACGGCGGAGGAUGUGGGGACUAGUGAGAGCGGAUUGAACUCGUUGGUUUUGGCGAAUAAUGAAGAGACAGUUUUGCUGCCACUGAAUGAGCCGGUGUUUGGCACCAAGAGGAAAAGCCAAAUACAAACAUACUUGGAGCACAAUGAAGGAGCUGGUCUGCAGCAUUUGGCGCUUGUGAGUGAAGAUAUAUUCAAGACCUUAAGGGAAAUGCGGCGGAGGAGCGGCGUUGGAGGAUUUGACUUUAUGCCGUCUCCGCCGCCAACAUAUUAUCGGAAUUUGAAGAAACGGGUAGGGGAUGUUUUGACUGAUGAGCAGAUCAAGGAGUGUGAGGAGUUGGGAAUUUUGGUGGAUAGGGAUGAUCAGGGGACCUUGCUCCAGAUUUUCACUAAGCCUGUUGGCGAUAGGUAACCAUGGACUAAUUUCUUCAGUUCCUUGUUUGAUUAAACUCAUAUUUCUUGCUAUGAUGAGAUUAUUGAAUGCAUCAAAUUCUCCCCUUAGAUUCUCUGUCACUCUCUCUCUAAUUUAUUCAUCUCCAACUGGAUUGAACUUGUAACCUCAAACCCCUAUAAACAACUCUAGUAUCAGUAAGUCAAAGUUUCAUUGGUUAUACUUUCUACUUGUACAUCCUGCAUUUCUUAAAUUAACCUACAUGUGAUUGGGAUUCUUGCCAGAAUUGUAUCUAAAUGUGUCUGCAUUUUUUGCUGCUGCUUUUAUUUUUGUUUUACGUAAUAGAAUUAGAAUGAUGAUAGAGUUUGGUUUUCCAUAUGUUUGAAUGUGACUCUGAAACUCGUGGAAACGAGAGUGUAAAAGGGUGGUAUAUGUAUCAAUUUGGUUGUUGAAUUUCUCUAGUCAUUUUAAGAUACUGCAUUCAAAACAGCUGUAGAAAAUGCUUGUGUUUUCUGCAAAUGCAUUCAGAAAACUCUUAACUGUGUAAAUUUCUUGUAUUUUCUGCAAAUGAGUAAAGGGAAAAGUAUGUACUUGUGUAAUUUAAUCUGACUUUAUUCUAUUUGUAUAAUCAAAACGACUUGGGAACUUGUUGUUUUGUAGCAAAAUAGCAACACCAUACAUGUGUCUUCGGUGACCGGGCGUACAUAAGAAUUUUGCAUAGUUUGCUGACAAUGUUCAACAUGUUUUUCUUGACAUGGACGUUUUUCUUACUCUCCUCAGGAAGACAUCUUUGGCUGGGAUAAUAUAUGUUUAGCAUUGUUGGGAUGAAUUGGUGGUUUUACUCUUUUGUAAUUUUGGCAGGCCAACCAUCUUUAUAGAGAUAAUUCAAAGGGUAGGCUGCAUGAUAAAGGAUGAGACGGGGAAAGAAUACCAGAAGGGUGGAUGCGGAGGUUUUGGGAAGGGAAACUUUUCAGAGCUAUUCAAGUCUAUUGAGGAAUACGAGAAGACACUUGAAGCCAAACGAAAUGCAGAAGCAGCUACGGCAUGAAUAUGAACUUGGAAUGCCAUCAACCAUUAGCAUGUCACUGAAAUAGUGUAGCCGUGCUAUUUAAAUAACAGUGAAACUGAAAAGAUAGAAUAAGAUGAUAGGAAACUUUGUGGUUGUUGGCUGUGUAAAACUUAAUAAGAUUAGAAGCUACUUGUUUGUUGCCUGUGUAAACUCACUAAUUGAUGAAAAUAAUUUAGCUAAUGAUAAUAUAUUGUUGAAGGUGCAAGUGAAAUAUUUAUCCACUUGAAGAUUGAGCCUUGGCGUCUUGUGAAUUGUAAAAGUUCGCUCGAGUUCAUUCAUUAUAAUUAAGGAGCCAAACUCUUUAAA